GACGAACGCUGGCGGCGUGCUUAACACAUGCAAGUCGAACGAUGAAGAAGAGCUUGCUCUUCGGAUUAGUGGCGAACGGGUGAGUAACACGUGACUAACCUGCCCCUUUCUCUGGGAUAACGCUCCGAAAGGAGUGCUAAUACCGGAUACUCACAUCGAGGCACAUGCCUUGAUGUGGAAAGUUUUUCGGAAAGGGAUGGAGUCGCGGCCUAUCAGCUUGUUGGUGAGGUAACGGCUCACCAAGGCGACGACGGGUAGCCGGCCUGAGAGGGCGAGCGGCCACACUGGGACUGAGACACGGCCCAGACUCCUACGGGAGGCAGCAGUGGGGAAUAUUGCACAGUGGGCGAAAGCCUGAUGCAGCGACGCCGCGUGAGGGGUGAAGGCCUUCGGGUUGUAAACCUCUUUUAGCAGGGAAGAAGCGAAAGUGACGGUACCUGCAGAAAAAGCACCGGCUAACUACGUGCCAGCAGCCGCCGCAG
This 482-nucleotide ribosomal RNA is filed under the name uncultured bacterium. RNAcentral describes it as "partial 16S ribosomal RNA". It matches the Rfam family "Bacterial small subunit ribosomal RNA", at positions 28 to 523 of the family's 1533-position model. The record is from RNAcentral.